UGUCUGUAAACCGUGAAUACACAGCUGCAAGCACAGAUGAGAGACAAAGGCUCAGCAGAAGGAACUGACACAGGCAAUGAAGAGAAAAGAAUGGAAACAGAAGCUGACCUUGAAACCCUGACAGAUGCACACAUCUGUGGGCCUGCAUGUAGUUUUGCCCUGCUAACCUGAUGGGACCCUAGUUUCUAGUGUGGAGUUCCUUGAGAAUUCAGGGUCAAGGGCAGUGACAGGUUUCUCUCCCACCUCUUUGAGUUGAUGAGUCAGACUCUGAGGGCAACAGAGCUUGUGGAUGGGGAUCAUGGAAGACCAUACAUAAGUCCUAGUGUUUCAGUUGAGCCCACCCCAGCCCAUCCCAACCUCUUCACCCAGCUCCCUGGGCCUGCCAUCUUGGGGUCUCAUCAGUCCUCCAGGCUCACUUGGCCUUUCUCCUAGCGAAGAGGAAAUCGGGAAGCACACGUCUCUGUCCCUAGUGAGUCACCUCAUUCCAGAACCUGCUUCUUGGUCAGAAGAGUGCCAGUGGCGUGUGCUGCUCCCUUCCAUCAAAGCAGCUGAGAGAACCAGCUGAGGUGUGUGCGUGAGGGGCUCAGAGCAUGUGCAAGGCUGCCUGCCAUUCAUCUCCCGUAGCCUCCAAUCUCCUGCAGGAUCCAUACCCUCCCACGUGAUGGCCACCUCCCGCUCACUCUAUGCUCCUUGUCUCCAGGAGGCUAAACCCCAGCUUUCUGCAGCCAUUCUCAGACUCUACAAUGAACAUGGCAGCUGCCGGUGGCACUUACCAACAGCUGGCACUGUGGGCUAGGACUGGUGGUAAGGACUCUACAGAGAUCUUAGUUCACAGUUGUCAGCUGAGGAACAAGUGGGUUUAUUGUGCCCAUCUUAUUAGUGAGAGAUAAAAGAGGGAGGGCGUAGGAGAUCAGGUGACCUGCUCAAGGUCACACAGUCAUCUUGAGCCACAUGGUGGCUAGGCUAAAACAUCCCUACUUUAUCCAUGUGGUCUCCUGUGAGGUGACGUCACAGGUGAGACAGGUACAAGGUAGAAGGAGGCCUGUCAUUGGACGAGAAGGAAGGAUGGGUGGGAGAAGUUUGAAGGAAGAAGAGGAGGCUGGAAACGGAAAGGAGGAAGAGACAGGAGGGAAAGGGAGAGAAGCCGUGGCAGAUCAAUAUGGCGGGUGACGUUAAGAUUCCAUGCUGUGCCUUUACAAGUUGUUACGAAUGUUCUUAAGGGAUGGGUGUGUAUUGGGUUUUGUAUGUUUAUGUGGGCAAUUAUAUCUUAUCAAUUGGGCCAAA
Rattus norvegicus (Norway rat) is the source of this 1284-nucleotide non-coding RNA. NCBI's taxonomy places the organism in Eukaryota, Metazoa, Chordata, Mammalia, Rodentia, Muridae. The record is from RefSeq and is a predicted model, not a curated record.